RNAcentral lists this ribosomal RNA (451 nucleotides) under uncultured bacterium. RNAcentral's name for it is "partial 16S ribosomal RNA". It matches the Rfam family "Bacterial small subunit ribosomal RNA", at positions 29 to 523 of the family's 1533-position model. The record is from RNAcentral.
AACGAACGCUGGCGGCAGGCUUAACACAUGCAAGUCGAACGCUCGUAGCAAUACGGGAGUGGCGGACGGGUGAGUAACGCGUGGGAACGUGCCCAAAGGUACGGAACAACUCCGGGAAACUGGAGCUAAUACCGUAUGUGCCCGAAAGGGGAAAGAUUUAUCGCCUUUGGAUCGGCCCGCGUCGGAUUAGCUAGUUGGUGGGGUAAUGGCCUACCAAGGCGACGAUCCGUAGCUGGUCUGAGAGGAUGAUCAGCCACACUGGGACUGAGACACGGCCCAGACUCCUACGGGAGGCAGCAGUGGGGAAUAUUGGACAAUGGGCGCAAGCCUGAUCCAGCCAUGCCGCGUGAGUGAUGAAGGCCUUAGGGUUGUAAAGCUCUUUCGCCAGGGACGAUAAUGACGGUACCUGGAUAAGAAGCCCCGGCUAACUUCGUGCCAGCCGCCGCCGUAA